Molecule: transfer RNA, 120 nt
Filed under: Candidatus Bathyarchaeota archaeon
Lineage: Archaea; Thermoproteati; Candidatus Bathyarchaeota
Description: tRNA-OTHER
Rfam family: tRNA
About the family: Transfer RNA (tRNA) molecules are approximately 80 nucleotides in length. Their secondary structure includes four short double-helical elements and three loops (D, anti-codon, and T loops). Further hydrogen bonds mediate the characteristic L-shaped molecular structure. tRNAs have two regions of fundamental functional importance: the anti-codon, which is responsible for specific mRNA codon recognition, and the 3' end, to which the tRNAs corresponding amino acid is attached (by aminoacyl-tRNA synthetases). tRNAs cope with the degeneracy of the genetic code in two manners: having more than one tRNA (with a specific anti-codon) for a particular amino acid; and 'wobble' base-pairing, i.e. permitting non-standard base-pairing at the 3rd anti-codon position.
Source: RNAcentral
GCCGGGGUGGCCUAGUCUGGUAGGGCGCAGUCGCUUGUGCGUAUGCCUGGAGUCUUCUUUAAGUUGGUCAGCCUGUGAUCCUUCGGGAUCUCAGGGGUUCAAAUCCCCUUCCCGGCGCCA